Solanum lycopersicum (tomato) is the source of this 969-nucleotide long non-coding RNA. RefSeq lists it as uncharacterized. The record is from RefSeq and is a predicted model, not a curated record. NCBI's taxonomy places the organism in Eukaryota, Viridiplantae, Streptophyta, Magnoliopsida, Solanales, Solanaceae.
CCCGUGCUCUCGAAACAGUCGUAUCUCUAACUAAGCAACAUUUCCUUUGCCUUACCAUCACGCCUCUUCCUGUACCAUCACCGCUGUAUUACAAAUAGCGCCUUAACCAAAACUCCUUCCUUACAUUGUUGCGUUGCGUCAUGCACACAACAUUCAAUUCUCUCCUUUGCUUCCAACACCCAUCUGCAAAUAUACAAGCACUUUCACUGCGUGUCUUUAUGUACCCAAAGGAUAUCAACGAAAACCCCCGUCAAACCAGGGCUGCUUAUAUGGAUGAAAAUGUAGACACUGAUUAUAUGGACACAAAUGAUUUAACACAAGCCCAUGCCCAUGCAGGUUUGCAUUCAUGCAUUUUCCACUUACCUUUACGGAUGGGAUAUCGUUCCUCUGUACAAAUUAUUUGUGAUGCAUAAAAAUUGAGGGCAUGUAGAGAGUGGUUGGCCGGGUUGGUAGUGAUUGUAUUUGGUAACUUAUCUAUGAGUUAGAAUUGUCAAGUUAUGAAUAAAGAGUAGAGCGAGCAAGAUAUGGAGUUAGAGUCAAGGGUAUUAUAUGCUUAAGGUGUAUAGAAAAGAGAAAGGCAAGUGGAUAAAGGUUGAGGAGUGUACUUUCUUAUUGCAUAUUUUGUGCUAGUUUGAUUUAGUUAUAUUAUGUGGUGGGUAUUGGGUUGAUCGAUGAUGCUUGCCAGUACGUGUGAUUUGUACUAAUACUUCUCUUUCUAUGUCUUUUGGCAUAGUCUGAUUGCAAGGUCACUGAUGUUUCAUAGGUGAAGACCAAGACAAUCUCCAACAACUUUUACUCUUCCUUCUUUGUGGUGGAAGCUGUGUCAUUGGUUACUGUAUUUUAUACCUUGUAAUCUUAGAAUCUCUUGUACCUGUUUAGACUAGAUCGCCAGGGGAAUUAUUUAUUUUACAAAUUUAACUUUGGAUUGUUGAAACUCUUUAUAAUAUAAAAAUCUCAUGGAUUUCCUUU